AUUGAACGCUGGCGGCAUGCCUUACACAUGCAAGUCGAACGGCAACAGGUCUUUGGAUGCCGACGAGUGGCGAACGGGUGAGUAAUACAUCGGAACGUGCCUAGUAGUGGGGGAUAACUACUCGAAAGAGUGGCUAAUACCGCAUGAGAUCUACGGAUGAAAGCAGGGGAUCGCAAGACCUUGUGCUACUAGAGCGGCCGAUGGCAGAUUAGGUAGUUGGUGGGAUAAAAGCUUACCAAGCCGACGAUCUGUAGCUGGUCUGAGAGGACGAUCAGCCACACUGGGACUGAGACACGGCCCAGACUCCUACGGGAGGCAGCAGUGGGGAAUUUUGGACAAUGGGCGAAAGCCUGAUCCAGCAAUGCCGCGUGCAGGAUGAAGGCCUUCGGGUUGUAAACUGCCUUUGUACGGAACGAAAAGCCCCGGGUUAAUACCCUGGGGUCAUGACGGUACCGUAAGAAUAAGCACCGGCUAACUACGUGCCAGCCGCCGCCGUAA
Molecule: ribosomal RNA, 498 nt
Filed under: uncultured bacterium
Lineage: Bacteria
Description: partial 16S ribosomal RNA
Rfam family: Bacterial small subunit ribosomal RNA
Source: RNAcentral